CUCUGAGGCGUUGCUGAACACAUAGAGCACAUAAGAGCCAUUCUGUUGUACUGGGAAAUGUAGCUCCAGCUUCACCUUGACUGUACUUGGCCCUUUGUUCCUCAACUAACAGCACAAAGGAGCAUGGGAACCACUUCAUGCUGGUCUGGGGAAAGGUGGAUUUGGAAUCUAUCAGAUUUGAAGAAACAGUGGAGAAUAGAGUGCUGAUGGGAUUCCUGUCUACCACAGGCACACAGACAUUCACACAAACAUUCACACCUAGUCAAUCCAUCCUCUGUUGUGUAUUUGUCAGGUAAGAGGUGAACGUAGAACCCAAAGGAACCCUGAGAUUUGGAGUAAACAUGUUUGACAUUGUAGAAACCAGAUUUUUUGGUUUUGAAAUUCUUGUUGGUGACGAUAAACGGCCAUGCAAGACUGAACAGAUUUGCUAAAAGGAAAAAAGAUAUUGUACUGCACAUUCUUUGGCACCUCAUAAACAUGCUCUACAAGGGGGCCCACAUCUUCCAAAUCCUUUGGGGAAUCUUUUGGUUCCCAUUUGGCAAUUGGCAUGACGCUCUCGGAAGGAGAGGAGGCUCUGCAAUUAAGAAGAUAAAUAAAAUUAAAAUGCUUCUUAACUACAAUCUGCUACCUAUACCAGCAAAGCAUUCAUAGAUAAGAUUCUUAACAGUCAUAUUAAUAAUAACAUUCACAUUAAUUAAUACACUUGUGCAGUGAAUAUCAUACAUUGAACUGCAGGGCUAGGUGCAACAACAACAAAAACAAAAACGCAGCUUGAAGAACAAGAAGUUCAAACUAAGCUCACUCACCCCCGCAUCUCCAGCAAAGCCACAGCCUGAACAUUGAUCUUCACUUCCACUCUGUUGCUGUCUGGUUUCAGACUGUUCUUGCUAAUGAUUAAUGAAGGAGAACAAACAUUCAAGCAUUGCUGCUAUGAUCUUCGGGAAAAAAAAAUUAUUAGCACAACAAUGUCAAGAUAACAGACUACUGGGAAGGAAGCAAGAUAAUUACUAUGAAGAAUUCACGUCAGAAAACCAAGCAACAUGGUGCAUAAAGGAUGCUCUUGCCUUUUAAUUUGUAAAUGGAAGGACACAUGGGUCUCGACCUCCUCCAGUCCACCCAUGCUGAAAUACAGACCGGCCAUGAUCUACAAAAGAGUUCAAAGAGACACUAAAGAAUUGACAGGUCCAUUUAGCUCAUGGAAGUCAACAGGAAGUCAGCAGGAAGUCAAGGGAGUUUCCUGAAGACCAGCAAAAGAGAAUCGUCUGCACUGCCAUUCUUUAAAAUUAUAGAUUGAAAGUAAAUGAUCAAUCUAUAAUAAUAAUAAAAAGCCUUGUUAUUUUCGGCUGUGCUACUUCUUAAAAAGCAGUAGUAUGUGCUCAUUACUAGCUUCGUGUUUUCUUAGCAUGUUUACUUGCAUUCAAUUUUGGUAAAUUGUGAAAAAUCAGGUUUAAUUUUUAAGACGUACUAAAGGGCUUAGUUCAAAAUGGUUAAGGUCUUGAUGUUAUGUCAUUUUACCAAGAAAGUUCUAAAAUUUGUCUAGCGCUUCAUGACAGUGUAAGACUUUUAAUUACACCUUUGUUUACAAUUUGAGGACAUUAAAAUAGUUCAUUUAGCCGACAAAUGGGCUUUAUAAAUAAAUGAUUGGAAUUGCGAGGUUUUUUUUUUUUUGGUUUUCUUUAAUAUCAAUCACGCAAUCAUGAGCCAAAUCAAAAUAGAUUUACAAUAUAAUGACCACAAACAAACAAACAAACAACUUCCCCCAUUAAAAGAAUAAAGCUUUCAAUUAACUUUAGUAGAUGUCAUGUGGCUUAUUUUUUUAAUCCCCGGUGAAGCUCCCUUUUGAAGCUGCUUGAGAAGAUACUGACACUGCACAAAUCUUCAUCAGGAAAUUCAGAAAUUCAUCAGAAAAUUGCUGCCUUUUAAACUGUCCAUGUCCAUAUCCUCAGUAGUACCCUGCUACUGGAAUGACACAAAAGAAAUUGCUGUAUUAAAACAUGUUGCAGUGUAGAAACCAAACCAAACACCAU
Long non-coding RNA from Hemibagrus wyckioides, 2027 nucleotides. RefSeq lists it as uncharacterized. Lineage: Eukaryota; Metazoa; Chordata; Actinopteri; Siluriformes; Bagridae. The transcript has 3 exons. The record is from RefSeq and is a predicted model, not a curated record.